CGGACGGGUGAGUAAUGUCUGGGAAACUGCCCGAUGGAGGGGGAUAACUACUGGAAACGGUAGCUAAUACCGCAUAACGUCGCAAGACCAAAGAGGGGGACCUUCGGGCCUCUUGCCAUCGGAUGUGCCCAGAUGGGAUUAGCUAGUAGGUGAGGUAACGGCUUACCUAGGCGACGAUCCCUAGCUGGUCUGAGAGGAUGAUCAGCCACACUGGAACUGAGACACGGUCCAG
RNAcentral lists this ribosomal RNA (232 nucleotides) under uncultured bacterium. RNAcentral's name for it is "partial 16S ribosomal RNA". It matches the Rfam family "Bacterial small subunit ribosomal RNA", at positions 99 to 334 of the family's 1533-position model. The record is from RNAcentral.